Molecule: ribosomal RNA, 253 nt
Filed under: uncultured bacterium
Lineage: Bacteria
Description: partial 16S ribosomal RNA
Rfam family: Bacterial small subunit ribosomal RNA
Source: RNAcentral
UACAUGUGGGGCAAGCGUUGUUCGGAAUUACUGGGCGUAAAGGGCUCGUAGGCGGCCAACUAAGUCAGACGUGAAAUCCCUCGGCUUAACCGGGGAACUGCGUCUGAUACUGGAUGGCUUGAAUCCGGGAGAGGGAUGCGGAAUUCCAGGUGUAGCGGUGAAAUGCGUAGAUAUCUGGAGGAACACCGGUGGCGAAGGCGGCAUCCUGGACCGGCAUUGACGCUGAGGAGCGAAAGCCAGGGGAGCAAACGGG